Small nuclear RNA from Ursus americanus (American black bear), 106 nucleotides. Lineage: Eukaryota; Metazoa; Chordata; Mammalia; Carnivora; Ursidae. The record is from Ensembl.
GUGCUUGUUUUUGCAACACAUAUACUAAAAUUGGAACAACAGAGAGAUGAUUAGCAUGGCCCCUGUGCAAGAUGACACACAAAUUCCCAAAGUGUUCCAUAUUUUU